This 253-nucleotide ribosomal RNA is filed under the name uncultured bacterium. RNAcentral's name for it is "partial 16S ribosomal RNA". It matches the Rfam family "Bacterial small subunit ribosomal RNA", at positions 524 to 776 of the family's 1533-position model. The record is from RNAcentral.
UACGAAGGGGGCUAGCGUUGCUCGGAUUUACUGGGCGUAAAGGGCGCGUAGGCGGACAGUUAAGUUGGGGGUGAAAGCCCGGGGCUCAACCUCGGAAUUGCCUUCAAUACUGGCUGUCUUGAGUGUGAGAGAGGUGUGUGGAACUCCGAGUGUAGAGGUGAAAUUCGUAGAUAUUCGGAAGAACACCAGUGGCGAAGGCGACACACUGGCUCACUACUGACGCUGAGGCGCGAAAGCCAGGGGAGCAAACGGG